This 471-nucleotide ribosomal RNA is filed under the name uncultured bacterium. RNAcentral describes it as "bacterial SSU rRNA". It matches the Rfam family "Bacterial small subunit ribosomal RNA", at positions 335 to 799 of the family's 1533-position model. The record is from RNAcentral.
ACUCCUACGGGAGGCAGCAGUGGGGAAUAUUGCACAAUGGGCGAAAGCCUGAUGCAGCCAUGCCGCGUGUGUGAAGAAGGCCGUUCGGGUUGUAAAGCACUUUCAGCGAGGAGGAAAGGUUGACGGUUAACUACCCGUCAGCUGUGACGUUACUCGCAGAAGAAGCACCGGCUAACUCCGUGCCAGCAGCCGCGGUAAUACGGAGGUGCGAGCGUUAAUCGGAAUUACGUGGCGUAAAGCGCAUGCAGGCGGCCAAGUCAGUCAGAUGUGAAACGCCCGGGCUUAACCUGGAAUUGCAUUUGAAACUGCUUGGCUAGAGUCCUUGAGAGGGGGUAGAAUUUCAGGUGUAGCGGUGAAAUGCGUAGAGAUCUGAAGGAAUACCAGUGGCGAAGGCGGCCCCUGGCAAGAGACUGACGCUCAGAUGCGAAAGCGUGGGAGCAAACAGGAUUAGAUACCCCGUGUAGGAUAGCG